This 399-nucleotide long non-coding RNA is filed under the name Brassica rapa (field mustard). RNAcentral describes it as "long non-coding RNA (BRAP_LNC001696)". Lineage: Eukaryota; Viridiplantae; Streptophyta; Magnoliopsida; Brassicales; Brassicaceae. The record is from RNAcentral.
UUAGUUGUACCAGUUUGUACAUAGUUAUACUUAGGCAGUGAAAUCGAAAGAUAUUAGUUGUACCAUAUAAAAAAUACAAUUACCUUAGUUGUACCACUGUUGUAUGUUUACAUAUGCUUGCCCGGAUACAAUGAAAUCAUCACUAUUGUGAAAAUACUUGUCAUGUAUGUUUUGCAAAAAAUAAGUGGACAAACAAGUUAACAAACCUUAAAAGUAUAAGGUAGAUCAAGCAAACUUUUGUGAUGGAGUUAGAAAUCUAAAAAAAAAAAAGCACAAUACAAAACACAAAGAAACCUUUCCAAACGCUUAAAAAUUAGACUAUUUGAUUUGUUUUUUAAUAGGGAACACCCAAAAGAAUAUUUAAAUUUUACAACUUGCACAGUUGUACUAGUUGUACUA